CUUAAUUCCACUUCCACCUGUGCCACUUCCAUGUCUCUGCUCUCCUUUAUAAUACAGUUCUUAGAUUGGUCUGGUGCUCUCUCCAGUUCUGUCCCCCCACUGGGACUUGUUCCAGCACUCCACCAAAAUUCCUCUGAUCCAGUGAUUUCCACAUUGCUACACAGAAUAGCUCUUCCUUUUCAUCAGAUUUGAUCUACUAGCAGCAUUGAAAACAACCCAUCACUCUGUUUUGAGGAUUUUGACACCAUGGUCCCCCGAUAGACUUGCCCAGGUGGCUUUGCUUUGCCCAGUUGAAUGUGAGCAGAAGUGAUGAGUAUCACUUCCAAGCAAAAGUGUAAGAGCCAGUGUGGUGGCUGCUUCUGUCCUUCCCCUUUGCUGCAAGAAGAACAGCAAUGCCCCAUAGACAGGUUGGCCUGAGUUUCAGAGGGAAGGCUCCAUGUUACAUAACUGCAGCCCAUCUGCACUGUCCGCGGAACUGGAGUGCAAAACAAACCUUUAUCAUUGUAAGCCACUAACGUUUGGGGUUGUUACGAAAGCAUAACACCACCUAAGCGGCUUCAACACUCCCACAAGUUUAAGAGGAAAAGGAGUUUAUUAAAGGACACCAGAUGGCUCACAGGAUCUCCAAGAAGGCCUCGGUGACUCCAAAGCCAGGAAUGAUGUCCAAAUCUCACUGAGGGACUGCACCAGCGCAGGUGCGCACUGCUGCCUCCUCUGAGUACAUAUUUAGUAAGUCACACCAGUGUUGGAGCCCAGAAUCUUGACCACUGCUGUCUCUGGAAACUGGACACCUCUGCCACUAACCUUGGCAGUAGAUGGCCUUUGGGAGCCCUCCACGUCUUCAGGUUGCCCUCUUCUGGAUUGAAGUCGCUGGCAGAGCUGAGUUUACCUGCCUGUGCUCUUGCUAUCAAAGAGGCUGGAAAAGCAAAUUUCUUGUUUCUACUUUGGCGAGUUAGGAGUCAAACAGGAGGAAUUACCAAGACAUAGGGAGGAGGUUCAGAAGUUAGUGAAUGACCAUGAAGCAUGAAAGACGUCCACGACCUGCUGGAGACCUGAGGAUGGAGCGGACACCAAGGGAUCCCAGCUGAGCAAUAGAGCAGCUGGGUGCCAUGACUUACGCCCCGGCCCCAGUCAUGCAUAUACCAUUGACUCUUCAGUUAUUUGAGGAAACCAUUCCUAGCUUUGCUUAAGCCAGCUGGAAUGGGCUUACUGACACUUGCAAUGGAAAGAGUCCUAAUGAUCUGUGUCUCAAAUGGAUGAGCGUUGGCACAGUGGCUAACGGUGGUGCCCUGGCUCGGAUGCCUGAAAGUUUUGGUUGUUCUCAGUCCCCAGUAAGUGGGGAUGAGGCUGACAGUUAUGGGAAUGGCCGCUUCUGGUAGGGUAGGUGUAUUAAUCUGUUCUCACGCUGCUAAUAAAGACAAACCCCAGACUGGGCAAUUUAUAAAGGAAAGAGGUUUAGUGGACUCACAGUUCCAGUGGCUGAGGAGGCCUCACAAUCAUGGCGGAGGAUGAAGGAGGAGCAAAGGGACGUCUUACAUGCUGGCAGGCAAGAGAGAAAUGAGAGCCAGGCAAAAGGGGAAGCCAAAACCAUCAGAUCUCAUGAGACUUAUUCACUCUCAUGAGAACAGCAUGGGAAAGACCUGCCCCAUGAUUCGAUUGCCUCCCCUCCGGGUCCCUCCCACGACACGUGGGAAUUGUGGGAGCUACAAUUCAAGAUGAGAUUUGGGUUGCAGCACAGCCAAACCGUAUCACCUGGGUUGUGGUUUCCCUGUCUGCUGGGGAGCCAGUAGUUCUCAUGUACAGCAGGGCGCUUGCUCACGUGUGGCACAGUAACCAGGCCAGGUACAAUUAUACAGUGGGCAACAUGUCUGUGUCAGAUAGUGCUAGUUGCUUAUCUACUAGCAGAUAUUGAGGAAAAGAGGAAUAUCCGUUCCUCUUUUCCUCAAUAAGACAAGUAAAAACGCACAGUUGUACAGUGCUUGCUGUGUAUUAGGGACUAUUCUAAGUGCUUCACUCGUAUUAACUCAUUGAAUCCUCAUGAGAACCCUGUACUAUUAUCAUAGUUUGCAGGUGAGGAAAUCGAGGCACAGAGUAAGUUGGUAACUUGACCAAGUCACACAGUGACAUAAAGAAGCAAGGUUCUAAGCCCAGACCAUCUGGCUCCGUGGGCUGUGCUUAGCCUCUGCACUAUAGUGCCUGAUUUUGUUUGCUUUGGUGAUGUGUCUGGCUAAAACAGCUUCAUUUCCUUGAAAGGAGGUAGACCCAUUUGGUAUCCCCCCUUUUGCCCAUAGUUCAUCUCUUUCUGCCUGGAACGUGAGUGUGGUGCUAGAAGGAGGGCAUCACUUUCUGUCGUGAUUACUAUUUUGCACCCAUGAGUUGACAAUUGGGAAGAAGAAAGCUGCAUGGCUUGGCCUAAAGAAGGAAGGUGCCUGGGUCCCAGCCCCAGAUUCCC
Molecule: long non-coding RNA, 2452 nt
Filed under: Homo sapiens (human)
Lineage: Eukaryota; Metazoa; Chordata; Mammalia; Primates; Hominidae
Description: HSALNT0280668
Source: RNAcentral